CCUACGGGUGGCAGCAGUGGGGAAUAUUGCGCAAUGGGGGCAACCCUGAUGCAGCAACGCCGCGUGAUUGAAGAAGGCCUUCGGGUUGUAAACCUCUGUCAGCAGGGAAGAACGGUCACUGUGCUAAUCAGCAGUGAAUUGCCGGUACCUGCAAAGGAAGCACCGGCUAACUCCGUGCCAGCAGCCGCGGGAAUACGGAGGGUGCGAGCGUUAAUCGGAAUUACUGGGCGUAAAGCGCUCGUAGGCGGUAUGUCAAGUCAAGGGUGAAAUCCCCGCGCUCAACGUGGGAACUGCCUUGGAAACUGGCAAACUGGAGUGUGUGAGAGGAUAGUGGAAUUCCAGGUGUAGGAGUGAAAUCCGUAGAUAUCUGGAGGAACAUCAGUGGCGAAGGCGACUAUCUGGCACAUAACUGACGCUGAGGAGCGAAAGCGUGGGUAGCAAACAGGAUUAGAUACCCGAGUAGUC
This 465-nucleotide ribosomal RNA is filed under the name uncultured bacterium. RNAcentral describes it as "partial 16S ribosomal RNA". It matches the Rfam family "Bacterial small subunit ribosomal RNA", at positions 338 to 795 of the family's 1533-position model. The record is from RNAcentral.